UACGUAGGGUGCAGGCGUUAAUCGGAAUUACUGGGCGUAAAGCGCGCGUAGGCGGCCACUUAAGUCGGAUGUGAAAGCCCCUGGCUCAACUGGGGAAGUGCACCCGAAACUGAAUGGCUUGAGUGCGAAAGAGGGUCGCGGAAUUCCCGGUGUAGAGGUGAAAUUCGUAGAUAUUGGGAAGAACACCAGUGGCGAAGGCGGCUCACUGGCCCGUAACUGACGCUGAGGUGCGAAAGCGUGGGGAGCAAACAGG
RNAcentral lists this ribosomal RNA (253 nucleotides) under uncultured bacterium. RNAcentral describes it as "partial 16S ribosomal RNA". It matches the Rfam family "Bacterial small subunit ribosomal RNA", at positions 524 to 776 of the family's 1533-position model. The record is from RNAcentral.